Molecule: ribosomal RNA, 254 nt
Filed under: uncultured bacterium
Lineage: Bacteria
Description: partial 16S ribosomal RNA
Rfam family: Bacterial small subunit ribosomal RNA
Source: RNAcentral
UACGUAGGGUGCGAGCGUUAAUCGGAAUUACUGGGCGUAAAGGGUGCGCAGGCGGUCUCGUAAGCUGGGUGUGAAAGCCCCGGGCUUAACCUGGGAAUGGCAUUCAGGACUGCGAGGCUUUGAGUGCGGCAGAGGGAGGUGGAAUUCCACGUGUAGCAGUGAAAUGCGUAGAGAUGUGGAGGAACACCGAUGGCGAAGGCAGCCCCCUGGGCUAACACUGACGCUCAUGCACGAAAGCGUGGGGAGCAAACAGG